This 809-nucleotide ribosomal RNA is filed under the name uncultured bacterium. RNAcentral's name for it is "bacterial SSU rRNA". It matches the Rfam family "Bacterial small subunit ribosomal RNA", at positions 47 to 847 of the family's 1533-position model. The record is from RNAcentral.
CUUAACACAUGCAAGUCGAGGGGAAACGACAUCGAAAGCUUGCUUUUGAUGGGCGUCGACCGGCGCACGGGUGAGUAACGCGUAUCCAACCUGCCCAUCACUUGGGGAUAACCUUGCGAAAGUAAGACUAAUACCCAAUGACGUCUCUAGAAGACAUCUGAAAGGGAUUAAAGAUUUAUCGGUGAUGGAUGGGGAUGCGUCUGAUUAGCUUGUUGGCGGGGUAACGGCCCACCAAGGCUACGAUCAGUAGGGGUUCUGAGAGGAAGGUCCCCCACAUUGGAACUGAGACACGGUCCAAACUCCUACGGGAGGCAGCAGUGAUGAAUAUUGGUCAAUGGACGAGAGUCUGAACCAGCCAAGUAGCGUGCAGGAUGACGGCCCUAUGGGUUGUAAACUGCUUUUAUAAGGGAAUAAAGUGAGUCUCGUGAGGCUUUUUGCAUGUACCUUAUGAAUAAGGACCGGCUAAUUCCGUGCCAGCAGCCGCGGUAAUACGGAAGGUCCGGGCGUUAUCCGGAUUUAUUGGGUUUAAAGGGAGCGUAGGCCGGAGAUUAAGCGUGUUGUGAAAUGUAGAUGCUCAACAUCUGCACUGCAGCGCGAACUGGUUUCCUUGAGUACGCACAAAGUGGGCGGAAUUCGUGGUGUAGCGGUGAAAUGCUUAGAUAUCACGAAGAACUCCGAUUGCGAAGGCAGCUCACUGGAGCGCAACUGACGCUGAAGCUCGAAAGUGCGGGUAUCGAACAGGAUUAGAUACCCUGGUAGUCCACGCGGUAAACGAUGGAUGCUCGCUGUUUGCGUCUGACGUAAGCGGC